This 495-nucleotide ribosomal RNA is filed under the name uncultured bacterium. RNAcentral describes it as "partial 16S ribosomal RNA". It matches the Rfam family "Bacterial small subunit ribosomal RNA", at positions 28 to 507 of the family's 1533-position model. The record is from RNAcentral.
GAUGAACGCUGGCGGCGUGCCUAAUACAUGCAAGUAGAACGCUGAAGGAGGAGCUUGCUCUUCUGGAUGAGUUGCGAACGGGUGAGUAACGCGUAGGUAACCUGCCUGGUAGCGGGGGAUAACUAUUGGAAACGAUAGCUAAUACCGCAUGACAACAGUUAUUGCAUGAUAACUGUUUAAAAGGGGCAACUGCUCCACUACCAGAUGGACCUGCGUUGUAUUAGCUAGUUGGUGAGGUAACGGCUCACCAAGGCGACGAUACAUAGCCGACCUGAGAGGGUGAUCGGCCACACUGGGACUGAGACACGGCCCAGACUCCUACGGGAGGCAGCAGUAGGGAAUCGUCGGCAAUGGACGGAAGUCUGACCGAGCAACGCCGCGUGAGUGAAGAAGGGUUUCGGAUCGUAAAGCUCUGUUGUAAGAGAAGAACGAGUGUGAGAGUGGAAAGUUCACACUGUGACGGUAUCUUACCAGAAAGGGACGGCUAACUACGUG